GGUUAAGCGACUAAGCGUACACGGUGGAUGCCUAGGCAAUCAGAGGCGAUGAAGGACGUGCUAAUCUGCGAUAAGCGUCGGUAAGGUGAUAUGAACCGUUACAACCGACGAUUUCCGAAUGGGGAAACCCAGUGCAAUUCGUUGCACUAUCGUUUGAUGAAUACAUAGUCAAACGAAGCGAACCGGGGGAACUGAAACAUCUCAGUACCCCGAGGAAAAGAAAUCAACCGAGAUUCCCCUAGUAGCGGCGAGCGAACGGGGAGCAGCCCAGAGUCUUAAUCAGCAUUAGCAUCAGGAGAACGGUCUGGAAAGUCCGGCAGUAAAGGGUGAUAGCCCCGUAUCCGAAGG
This 348-nucleotide ribosomal RNA is filed under the name Providencia rettgeri. RNAcentral's name for it is "partial 23S ribosomal RNA". It matches the Rfam family "Bacterial large subunit ribosomal RNA", at positions 1 to 385 of the family's 2925-position model. Lineage: Bacteria; Pseudomonadati; Pseudomonadota; Gammaproteobacteria; Enterobacterales; Morganellaceae. The record is from RNAcentral.